Molecule: transfer RNA, 69 nt
Filed under: Chelosania brunnea
Lineage: Eukaryota; Metazoa; Chordata; Lepidosauria; Squamata; Agamidae
Description: tRNA-Tyr
Source: RNAcentral
UGUAAAGAGAGGUAUCACACCCCAUAAAUGGAAUUACAACCCACCACCUGUUUAUUCAGCCAUCUUUAC